RNAcentral lists this ribosomal RNA (460 nucleotides) under uncultured bacterium. Its description in RNAcentral is "partial 16S ribosomal RNA". It matches the Rfam family "Bacterial small subunit ribosomal RNA", at positions 338 to 795 of the family's 1533-position model. The record is from RNAcentral.
CCUACGGGUGGCAGCAGUGAGGAAUAUUGGUCAAUGGGCGCAAGCCUGAACCAGCCAAGUAGCGUGCAGGAUGACUGCCCUACGGGUUGUAAACUGCUUUUAUACGGGAAUAAAGUGAGUUACGUGUGGCUCUUUGCAUGUACCGUAUGAAUAAGGAUCGGCUAACUCCGUGCCAGCAGCCGCGGUAAUACGGAGGAUCCGGGCGUUAUCCGGAUUUAUUGGGUUUAAAGGGAGCGUAGGCGGGUUGUUAAGUUAGUUGUGAAAUUUCGCGGCUCAACCGUAGCAUUGCAGUUGAUACUGGCAGGCUUGAGUACAGUGAAGGCAGGCGGAAUGCGUGGUGUAGCGGUGAAAUGCUUAGAUAUGACGAAGAACUCCGAUUGCGAAGGCAGCUUGCUAAACUGCCACUGACGUUGAUGCUCGAAAGUGUGGGUAUCAAACAGGAUUAGAUACCCUGGUAGUC